GACGAACGCUGGCGGCGUGCUUAACACAUGCAAGUCGAACGGAAAGGCCCUGCUUUUGUGGGGUGCUCGAGUGGCGAACGGGUGAGUAACACGUGAGUAACCUGCCCUUGACUUUGGGAUAACUUCAGGAAACUGGGGCUAAUACCGGAUAGGAGCUCCUGCUGCAUGGUGGGGGUUGGAAAGUUUCGGCGGUUGGGGAUGGACUCGCGGCUUAUCAGCUUGUUGGUGGGGUAGCGGCUUACCAAGGCUUUGACGGGUAGCCGGCCUGAGAGGGUGACCGGCCACAUUGGGACUGAGAUACGGCCCAGACUCCUACGGGAGGCAGCAGUGGGGAAUAUUGCACAAUGGGCGGAAGCCUGAUGCAGCAACGCCGCGUGCGGGAUGACGGCCUUCGGGUUGUAAACCGCUUUCGCCUGUGACGAAGCGUGAGUGACGGUAAUGGGUAAAGAAGAACCGGCUAACUACGUG
RNAcentral lists this ribosomal RNA (468 nucleotides) under uncultured bacterium. RNAcentral's name for it is "partial 16S ribosomal RNA". It matches the Rfam family "Bacterial small subunit ribosomal RNA", at positions 28 to 507 of the family's 1533-position model. The record is from RNAcentral.